This 415-nucleotide ribosomal RNA is filed under the name uncultured bacterium. Its description in RNAcentral is "bacterial SSU rRNA". It matches the Rfam family "Bacterial small subunit ribosomal RNA", at positions 28 to 445 of the family's 1533-position model. The record is from RNAcentral.
GAUGAACGCUGACAGAAUGCUUAACACAUGCAAGUCUACUUGAUUCUCCUUCGGGAGAUGAAGGUGGCGGACGGGUGAGUAACGCGUAAACAAUCUGCCCUUCAGUCUGGGAUAUCAGUUGGAAACGACUGUUAAUACCGGAUAUUAUGAGAUUCUCGCAUGGGAAACUCAUGAAAGCUAUAUGCGCUGGAGGAGGAGUUUGCGUUCCAUUAGCUAGUUGGUGAGGUAACGGCCCACCAAGGCGACGAUGGAUAGCCGGCCUGAGAGGGUGAACGGCCACAAGGGGACUGAGACACGGCCCUUACUCCUACGGGAGGCAGCAGUGGGGAAUAUUGGACAAUGGGCCACGAGCCUGAUCCAGCAAUUUUGUGUGCACGAUGAAGGUCUUCGGAUUGUAAAGUGCUUUCAGUUGGGA